Molecule: long non-coding RNA, 633 nt
Filed under: Citrus maxima (pomelo)
Lineage: Eukaryota; Viridiplantae; Streptophyta; Magnoliopsida; Sapindales; Rutaceae
Description: long non-coding RNA (CMAX_LNC001657)
Source: RNAcentral
AAAAGAAUAAAACUUCACUGCCACCUAUCACUAUUCCAUCACCGGCCGUGAUGGUGCACCUCUAGUAGUACUAUUAGAUUCAUCUUUCUCCUACCUAUCUAAACGUAUUGAUAUCUAGUCGGCUACUGAUAACUAACGGAGGCGUACGCAUGGUGGCAGCCACAAGACCGCAAAUGGACAGAGAGCCAGCGGUACGCACCGCCACCAUCAUUGGUUACAGUGACGACCGGCGAUUACAAUAAAGGUGGCGUUGCCGCAUAAGCCACUGUAUUUCGAUAGAGGAAUUAUGACAGCCCGCCACACUUUGGUUCAGUUUGCGCCACCAUCAAAUCUUCCCUUGCUGAUUUCGUCAGCUCCCUUGGGGCGUAUAUCAGAGAAUUAUAAAUCCUUUGUUACCUAGUAUGACACCAAAGUUUCAAUUUUUUUAUAGCCAGUGCCGUCGCCGGCGCUUCCACCGACUUUGAGAUUAUAAUCGCCGCCGCCGGUGAUUUUUUUUUCCGGUUCAUUUAUUUUUAAUUGUUUCUUUUUUAAAGUAAAAUUGUUAUUCAUGUUGUUGACCAUUAUGUAAUAUAAAAAAUAAGGCAAUGCCAUUCAUAUUAAAUUAAUUACUUAUUAAGUAAUAUUCUUUGCUAA